AGUGAACGCUGGCGGUAGGCCUAACACAUGCAAGUCGAACGGCAGCACAGUAAGAGCUUGCUCUUACGGGUGGCGAGUGACGGACGGGUGAGGAAUACAUCGGAAUCUACUUUUUCGUGGGGGAUAACGUAGGGAAGCUUACGCUAAUACCGCAUACGACCUACGGGUGAAAGCAGGGGAUCUUCGGACCUUGCGCGAUUGAAUGAGCCGAUGUCGGAUUAGCUAGUUGGCGGGGUAAAGGCCCACCAAGGCGACGAUCCGUAGCUGGUCUGAGAGGAUGAUCAGCCACACUGGAACUGAGACACGGUCCAGACUCCUACGGGAGGCAGCAGUGGGGAAUAUUGGACAAUGGGCGCAAGCCUGAUCCAGCCAUACCGCGUGGGUGAAGAAGGCCUUCGGGUUGUAAAGCCCUUUUGUUGGGAAAGAAAAGCAGCAGGUUAAUACCCCGCUGUUCUGACGGUACCCAAAGAAUAAGCACCGGCUAACUUCGUG
This 492-nucleotide ribosomal RNA is filed under the name uncultured bacterium. RNAcentral's name for it is "partial 16S ribosomal RNA". It matches the Rfam family "Bacterial small subunit ribosomal RNA", at positions 29 to 507 of the family's 1533-position model. The record is from RNAcentral.